Long non-coding RNA from Mobula hypostoma (lesser devil ray), 1598 nucleotides. RefSeq lists it as uncharacterized. The record is from RefSeq and is a predicted model, not a curated record. NCBI's taxonomy places the organism in Eukaryota, Metazoa, Chordata, Chondrichthyes, Myliobatiformes, Myliobatidae. The transcript has 3 exons.
AUUUCAAAUAGUUUAAUCAAUAUUAACAUAAAAUAUUUGAGGUUUAUUAAUUCAAUAUAGGUGUUUAAUCCAAUGUGAGACUGAAUGACGUUUUUCGUUAUUUAUCUUGCCAGAGUUCUAACGGCGUCAGCCCUGUUAUUAUCCACAUUAUUUUUUUUUAAAACGCAACAUAGAAAGUGUAACAGUGGUUACCUUGACCAAGUUUAUUUGAAAUUUUAUCAGCUGCAGUGCGUAAUCAACAGCGAAUUUAGAGCAUGAGAUAAAACCGACCUGAAAUACUAUUAACGAACAGCAACGAGGUAGAAGCUGUGUGGACAGAUCAUAGUACCGGUACCGAGCCGAAAACCUUGCAUCUCAGAUACCUUACUAGGAUAAAAGGAAGAAAGACCUCAAAGGCUUUGUUUCCCACUGCACCACACAACCGAGAGGGAUUACUGGGUUUGAAAGCAAUCCUAGCGCUGAGGUUAAGAAAUAAUUGAGUUAAAUGAACUUUCAUUUCAAUAAUCCCAACUGAUAACACUGUCUGCAAGUACCAACGCAUUUUCAUUUUCAAUCCAGAUAUUUGAAUCAUCAGGUGACCUCACUCUCAGCGCCUGCAUCUCCCACACUACAUUUCACGGCACCCAGAGAUAGUGAACUUGGAUUAAACAAGAAGUAGAAAGGCAUUUUUCUUUUGGAUACUUUAAAUACUUGAACUGAUGUUGAAAGUAUAAUUAAGAAAUAGCUGUUUUGAAAUCUGGUGCUGAAUACAUAGUGUCCCACCUGCAUACUUCCUAAUGAACAUGAGCAACUUUGUUUCAAAUGCAGGGAUAAAUCUGAUGAUAUGAAUUCUACCAACUGACUUGCAACAGCAAAACCUGGCAAAUUUGGCAGCUUGUAACUUUCUUUCAUGUAUUCCACUUCAAAAAUCAACUUUGCAGUUAAUUCAACUGGGAAAUUAAGUAAAAAUAUAUAGAGUUUUAUGGAACAAACUGCAAUUUCAAGAGCAAGAUCAACCCCAAGACAUUUCUAGUUUAGAAAUGGAGGUAAAUGGUCAUUCUGAAGUGAUACUAUUCACAUGUAUCCUCCACAUUCCAAUUAUAAUGAUCUGAUCUAUUCAAAGAUGGUUACAUCUCUUGUCAGCAAAAUGCUUUCAAUUUGAAAAUUUUUAAUUAAUGAACAUCACUGACAACAGGAUACUGAAACUAACGGUAACAAAAAUGCUUACUUGAUUCAGAUGUUUAUUGUAAUAUUGCCAUUUAAAACACUUAAAAUCAGAGUAAUCACAUAGAUAAAAAGGAUGAGUUGAUUUAUGUACUGCAGAAUGGAACUUCUCAUUUCAGUGCUCCAGUUUCAUAAGUGGAUUUGAAAACUAUCGAAAAUAAAAAUCACAGUUCUGCAUUAAAGGUUUCUGGUUUGAAAACCCAUUUUCCUUUAGAUUUUCCCCCUACCGCCCCCAUUCACAAUCGCAUGGAAGGCUCCUAUUCACUUCAAGCUGUCACUCAUACCCGAGCUUUCAUCUUGUCGAGGUGAUCUCUUUCCUUUAUGAUAGUUUUCAAAAGUAAACCUGAAAUAUUUUAAAAUCCAAGUAGUUACAUUUCUAAUUACCAAUAUGAGAA